UACGUAGGUGGCAAGCGUUGUCCGGAUUUACUGGGUAUAAAGGGAGCGCAGGCGGGAUAGCAAGUCAGCGGUGAAAUGUAUGGGCUUAACCCAUGAACUGCCGUUGAAACUGUUAUUCUUGAGUGGAGUAGAGGCAAGCGGAAUUCCGAGUGUAGCGGUGAAAUGCGUAGAUAUUCGGAGGAACACCAGUGGCGAAGGCGGCUUGCUGGGCUCUUACUGACGCUGAGGCUCGAAAGUGUGGGGAGCAAAC
This 250-nucleotide ribosomal RNA is filed under the name uncultured prokaryote. RNAcentral describes it as "partial 16S ribosomal RNA". It matches the Rfam family "Bacterial small subunit ribosomal RNA", at positions 524 to 773 of the family's 1533-position model. The record is from RNAcentral.